This 390-nucleotide ribosomal RNA is filed under the name Triticum aestivum (bread wheat). Its description in RNAcentral is "partial small subunit ribosomal RNA". Lineage: Eukaryota; Viridiplantae; Streptophyta; Magnoliopsida; Poales; Poaceae. The record is from RNAcentral.
AUAGUAAAUUGGAGAAGGAGGAGGAAUACUAUUUUCUCUCUCAGUUGUGGAGAUAUGGUGAUAGAAGGAACUAAAAACCUAUUGAAACAUGCUACUGGUUUCUACAAGGACCUUUUUGGUCUUACAGUUGGGAACAUUUGUAAAAUGGGUGAACAUUUGUGGGGGACAAAUGAGAAAUUGUCAGAUAUCGAUAAUUUUAUCCUUACUAGACCUUUCUCAGAAACUGAAAUAAAGAAUGCACUUUUCGCUAUGAAACCAAAUAAAGCACCAGGGCCAGACAACAUUCCUAUUGAAUUCUUCCAACAUUGUUGGGAGAUUGUCAAGAGUGAGGUGAUGUUAUUAUUUGAAUUGUUCCAUGAUAAUAAGCUUGAUGUUUUUUUGACAAAUUGA